UAGGGAAUCUUCCGCAAUGGGCGAAAGCUUGACGGAGCAACGCCGCGUGAGUGAUGAAGGUCUUCGGAUCGUAAAACUCUGUUAUUAGGGAAGAACAAAUGUGUAAGUAACUAUGCACGUCUUGACGGUACCUAAUCAGAAAGCCACGGCUAACUACGUGCCAGCAGCCGCGGUAAUACGUAGGUGGCAAGCGUUAUCCGGAAUUAUUGGGCGUAAAGCGCGCGUAGGCGGUUUUUUAAGUCUGGUGUGAAAGCCCACGGCUCAACCGUGGAGGGUCAUUGGAAACUGGAAAACUUGAGUGCAGAAGAGGAAAGUGGAAUUCCAUGUGUAGCGGUGAAAUGCGCAGAGAUAUGGAGGAACACCAGUGGCGAAGGCGACUUUCUGGUCUGUAACUGACGCUGAUGUGCGAAAGCGUGGGGAUCAAACAGG
RNAcentral lists this ribosomal RNA (429 nucleotides) under Actinomycetes bacterium. RNAcentral's name for it is "Actinobacteria bacterium partial 16S ribosomal RNA". It matches the Rfam family "Bacterial small subunit ribosomal RNA", at positions 355 to 776 of the family's 1533-position model. Lineage: Bacteria; Bacillati; Actinomycetota; Actinomycetes. The record is from RNAcentral.